Molecule: ribosomal RNA, 497 nt
Filed under: uncultured bacterium
Lineage: Bacteria
Description: partial 16S ribosomal RNA
Rfam family: Bacterial small subunit ribosomal RNA
Source: RNAcentral
GAUGAACGCUGGCGGCGUGCCUAAUACAUGCAAGUCGAGCGAACAGACGAGGAGCUUGCUCCUCUGACGUUAGCGGCGGACGGGUGAGUAACACGUGGAUAACCUACCUAUAAGACUGGGAUAACUUCGGGACACCGGAGCUAAUACCGGAUAAUAUAUUGAACCGCAUGGUUCAAUAGUGAAAGACGGUUUUGCUGUCACUUAUAGAUGGAUCCGCGCCGCAUUAGCUAGUUGGUAAGGUAACGGCUUACCAAGGCAACGAUGCGUAGCCGACCUGAGAGGGUGAUCGGCCACACUGGAACUGAGACACGGUCCAGACUCCUACGGGAGGCAGCAGUAGGGAAUCUGCCGCAAUGGGCGAAAGCCUGACGGAGCAACGCCGCGUGAGUGAUGAAGGUCUUCGGAUCGUAAAACUCUGUUAUUAGGGAAGAACAAAUGUGUAAGUAACUAUGCACGUCUUGACGGUACCUAAUCAGAAAGCCACGGCUAACUACGUG